Brienomyrus brachyistius is the source of this 2148-nucleotide long non-coding RNA. RefSeq lists it as uncharacterized. The record is from RefSeq and is a predicted model, not a curated record. The transcript is spliced from 3 exons. NCBI's taxonomy places the organism in Eukaryota, Metazoa, Chordata, Actinopteri, Osteoglossiformes, Mormyridae.
UCUUCCUGUCACUCCUGAGGCUGGAUUUGGACCCAGAAUCUCUGUCAGUCCCAGAUCUGAUUUUGGGAAUUUGAGGAAGGUGGUUUCUGAGAUGAAAGACCAACUGGAGAAUUUUUGCAGAAUGAAAAUGGCAGAGAUCCAUCACCCAGUUACCAAAGACACCGUCCUACCAGUAUUAGUGCCCAGGACCAGAGCAGAAUUCUUACACUCUUCCGUUGGGUGGAUCUUAAGCAGACCUUGGGCAGGACCUGGGAACACUGUACUGAUGCCUCAUUUCCACCAACAUGGAGCCGGUGCUGGGCUGGUUGUCACUUGAUGCCUUUUCAGAACCUGCCUGUGUUUCCACCAGUUUAAAAAAUUAACAUAGUUGACAGUGAAAGUAAAGGUUCAUAUGUAUUCCGUUUUGUGGGAUUUGUUCUUUUCUGUUCCAGAAUAAGUUUUUAUAAGCUGCCAACUGUCCUUUUAACAGUCGCACUAUUAAAGAUGCCAAUAACUGAACUUUGCAAUCUGCCUCAUAAUCUGCGGCAUGGUUUUCAUUUACAAUGCAAAGUUACUCCGAUAAUAAGCUGGCUAGUUGUUUUACUGUUGCCACCGGAAAUAUUAGACAAAACUAUAUUGGUUAUUGACUGAAUUAUCCAGGUAUGCGGAUGGUUUGGACACGAUGGCCCCUCCCACUUUCACUGAUGUUAUGAGAACUAUUUUUUUAUUUUUUGUGGUGGCCUAUAGCCUUGUGCCUUUGACCGAAUUACAGCCAUGAUAUACCGGAGUAUCUUCUUAUACAGUGUGUUAUUGCUUAAUUAUACUGCACUCAUAAAGCAUUCUAAACACAGCUAUAAAUAUUUAUAAAAAGCAUAACACAUUAUAUCCAUCAUUAUAACGCUUUAUGAAUGCUUUAUGACACACUCAACUAUAAGGCACUAUAGAUACCUUCAUAAUGCAAUACAAAGCAUCCUUAAUGCUUAUACUGAUCAUUAUAAUGCAUUAUGAAGGUAUUUAUAGUGCACUAAAGAAGAGAGCUUCAAACAUCAUUCAUUAUGCAUAAUAAGCAUGCCUAUAAUGUGUUAUGCCUUUUGAUAAAUAUUUAAAGCCAUGAUUAUAAUGCAUAACAAUGGAUUAUUAUUUGUUGUGAAUUUUUUUCUUAUUACUAACAACAUGGCCUUAAGUGUUCCAGAGAUUUUAUAGUGUUCCGUAAUCUGAGCAAAUGGAAGCAUGUAGAUGUUGAACAAAGAGGCUCAGUGAGGAUUAUAAUUCUAAUUGGUGAUCAGUGUUGACACACCACAGCACACAGUGCACAACACCGAAAUGUGUCCUCCGCAUUUAACCCAUAUGUGACAUCGUGACAUAGCAAGGGGCAGCUAAUUCAGCGCCCAGAGAGCAGUGUUUUGCUUAGGGUCCCUCAGCAGUGCCUUGCUGGUCGGGGAUUCAAUCCAACAACCAUUAAGCCACCACUGCCCACUGCCAAUAACGGACCCUUGAGGAACUCCACAUGUAAUUUCUGUUCAUUCAGAUUCAUAAUUACCCUUCUGACAGAAAGUAGUGCCUGACUUGUAAAAAUAAUUCAAACCCAUUAAAUAAGGCGGCGGCUCCACCUCCUUCCCUAAGUGCUCUAGUCUCACUGAUAAAGGGCAAGUAGGAGUAGCUGGUUUGAUCAGGGCUGCUGCAUAGUUUUCAUUUGACCCCAUUUCAGUUUAAAGCAUAAAAAUCAAGGUUUAUCUUGAUAUUAAAAUCAGUCAUUAAUAAUGAUUUUCCAGCCACAGACCUGAUAUUCAGUAAAGAUCAGUUUAAUGUAUUAAACACAUUGUCUGACCCAGUGUGUAGGUGACACACAACUGGAGUCAGAUGAGAGAGAGUAGCUGUGGGCUUUGAUGCACUUUGUUCCCCCUGAAGUCAGUCAGAGCAGGAAUGGCUGACACUGGGGCUGCUCCUCACUGCCUAGUGUGGGCUGUAGCUACAGCAGGGGAUCCAAACCAAGUAAGCGGCGGGCGGUGGGGUAAGGGCCCAGCCUGUCCUAGAUGUCAUCAUGCACUGUAAUGCUGAAAGCUGGGAAACUGCCCUCGCUUUGUUUGGGUAGCAGGAACGUUUGGUAUCACUCAGUAACAGCUCAUCAAAACCUUUUAUCUGCAUCCUUAUCUUGUGUGAGCUACGGUA